Long non-coding RNA from Mustela erminea (ermine), 492 nucleotides. RefSeq lists it as uncharacterized. The transcript has 3 exons. NCBI's taxonomy places the organism in Eukaryota, Metazoa, Chordata, Mammalia, Carnivora, Mustelidae. The record is from RefSeq and is a predicted model, not a curated record.
UGGGGCAUACCUCAGCCUGGUGGACCGGCAGCCUUUGGGAGGCCGUCACCCCUUGGACAUGAACGCGCUUUUAUAACAUCCGUUCCUUCAGUUUACAUUCAGGAAUUAAUAGUUUUCCGCCCAUCGUGUUGUGCGCUAAGAUUUUGUCUCCUAGAGUUCUGAGCAGAAGUGGAGAGAGGACGCCAUGCACCACCGCUUGUGGGAUUAGGCUUGUUCCGGAGUGGUCAGGCCAUGAUCUGGUGUCCAGGUGGUGGAGGGCACAGCCCUCUCUGCUCUUGGAGUCCGACUCAUUCUGAGGGAUGUAUGGUUGAGCUCCAUGACCUCCGAGGCUCCUUGCCAUUCUGUGAUGCUGGGACUGGAAGUCAAGAGGAGUUCAGCACCUGUUUUCUGAGCCAUCAUGGCCAUCUGCCAUCUCAGACUUAAUCUUAUCCAUCUUGGAGUCCACCACUUUUCAGCUGUGUGGAGAUGUUGCCAGCCUCUAAAACCACUAAA